GUGAGUGUUGACACUUUGGGUCUGAGUGAA
RNAcentral lists this non-coding RNA (30 nucleotides) under Cricetulus griseus (Chinese hamster). The record is from RNAcentral. Lineage: Eukaryota; Metazoa; Chordata; Mammalia; Rodentia; Cricetidae.